CCUACGGGAGGCAGCAGUAGGGAAUAUUGGGCAAUGGAGGCAAGUCUGACCCAGCCACGCCGCGUGCAGGAAGACGGCCCUCUGGGUUGUAAACUGCUUUUGAAUGGGAAGAACGCAGCUCAUGCGUCCUUUGUUGACGGUACCAUUAGAAUAAGCCACGGCUAACUACGUGCCAGCAGCCGCGGUAAU
This 189-nucleotide ribosomal RNA is filed under the name uncultured bacterium. Its description in RNAcentral is "partial 16S ribosomal RNA". It matches the Rfam family "Bacterial small subunit ribosomal RNA", at positions 338 to 524 of the family's 1533-position model. The record is from RNAcentral.